UUUAUGGAGAGUUUGAUCCUGGCUCAGGAUGAACGCUGGCGGCGUGCCUAAUACAUGCAAGUCGAGCGAACGGACGAGAAGCUUGCUUCUCUGAUGUUAGCGGCGGACGGGUGAGUAACACGUGGAUAACCUACCUAUAAGACUGGGAUAACUUCGGGAAACCGGAGCUAAUACCGGAUAAUAUUUUGAACCGCAUGGUUCAAAAGUGAAAGACGGUCUUGCUGUCACUUAUAGAUGGAUCCGCGCUGCAUUAGCUAGUUGGUAAGGUAACGGCUUACCAAGGCAACGAUGCAUAGCCGACCUGAGAGGGUGAUCGGCCACACUGGAACUGAGACACGGUCCAGACUCCUACGGGAGGCAGCAGUAGGGAAUCUUCCGCAAUGGGCGAAAGCCUGACGGAGCAACGCCGCGUGAGUGAUGAAGGUCUUCGGAUCGUAAAACUCUGUUAUUAGGGAAGAACAUAUGUGUAAGUAACUGUGCACAUCUUGACGGUACCUAAUCAGAAAGCCACGGCUAACUACGUGCCAGCAGCCGCGGUAAUACGUAGGUGGCAAGCGUUAUCCGGAAUUAUUGGGCGUAAAGCGCGCGUAGGCGGUUUUUUAAGUCUGAUGUGAAAGCCCACGGCUCAACCGUGGAGGGUCAUUGGAAACUGGAAAACUUGAGUGCAGAAGAGGAAAGUGGAAUUCCAUGUGUAGCGGUGAAAUGCGCAGAGAUAUGGAGGAACACCAGUGGCGAAGGCGACUUUCUGGUCUGUAACUGACGCUGAUGUGCGAAAGCGUGGGGAUCAAACAGGAUUAGAUACCCUGGUAGUCCACGCCGUAAACGAUGAGUGCUAAGUGUUAGGGGGUUUCCGCCCCUUAGUGCUGCAGCUAACGCAUUAAGCACUCCGCCUGGGGAGUACGACCGCAAGGUUGAAACUCAAAGGAAUUGACGGGGACCCGCACAAGCGGUGGAGCAUGUGGUUUAAUUCGAAGCAACGCGAAGAACCUUACCAAAUCUUGACAUCCUUUGACAACUCUAGAGAUAGAGCCUUCCCCUUCGGGGGACAAAGUGACAGGUGGUGCAUGGUUGUCGUCAGCUCGUGUCGUGAGAUGUUGGGUUAAGUCCCGCAACGAGCGCAACCCUUAAGCUUAGUUGCCAUCAUUAAGUUGGGCACUCUAAGUUGACUGCCGGUGACAAACCGGAGGAAGGUGGGGAUGACGUCAAAUCAUCAUGCCCCUUAUGAUUUGGGCUACACACGUGCUACAAUGGACAAUACAAAGGGCAGCGAAACCGCGAGGUCAAGCAAAUCCCAUAAAGUUGUUCUCAGUUCGGAUUGUAGUCUGCAACUCGACUACAUGAAGCUGGAAUCGCUAGUAAUCGUAGAUCAGCAUGCUACGGUGAAUACGUUCCCGGGUCUUGUACACACCGCCCGUCACACCACGAGAGUUUG
This 1432-nucleotide ribosomal RNA is filed under the name Staphylococcus aureus. Its description in RNAcentral is "bacterial SSU rRNA". It matches the Rfam family "Bacterial small subunit ribosomal RNA". The record is from RNAcentral. Lineage: Bacteria; Bacillati; Bacillota; Bacilli; Caryophanales; Staphylococcaceae.